AUGCUACACACCCUGCUAGGAAGUGCUGGGCUCUUGCUGGAUCAGGCCAGGAAUCCAUCAUGUGUGACGAUGGCAAAUUAUAAUGACAGAGAUCAAGCAGCUCCUCCUCUCCCUGCUGUAACAUUUCCCAGCCUACACAGUGCCUGCAUGUCGCCAUACAGAUCUCAGGAGCUGCCACACGUGCACACCCAAAUCCCUGUUCAUCCACACAGCGUCCUAGAGGGCAAUCCACUGGAAUGGCUGUCUCCCAUGGAGGACUGUGCUGCAGCUCCUUGGGGACAUGUGAGCACACAAACACUAUGGGCUGACUUUCUGUGUGCUUGUAGGCUGCAACCAAGUCUCCACGAAUCUUACUCCAUGAAACAUCAUCAGCAACACAGAAGCUUUGAAGACCAAUUUGAAAAAUAUCUCCUAAUUCAUUGAUUUUUAACAGUAUCUAUCUGUGUUUUGAUAAUGCCUAUGGUGAUUUUAUAUCACUACAGUGCUAUAAAAUGCAUACACUGGAGUUUUAACCACACUGGCAUGUUGUGUUACUGCUCCUCAAAUACAUAUUUUGCUUAUUUAUAUACUUCCCUUUUUACAAGGACAAUAUCCUUCUGUAGCAGAGUUUCCAAGAAAGAGAUAAGCCCUGGCUUAUUUAAUUGGCACAGGCACAAAGUUUGUCUAUUUUAUGUGGCUAAUAAAAAACUGAAUAAGCAUAUUCCUAGAACUUUAGUUGGCACUGUUCAGGAUCCUAAGGUUAUACACAGUUUAACUGCAGCUUUUUACACAAGAGCUCGACAAAUGACAGGAAAAAAGACCUUUGUCCCCACAGUUAACUAACCAGAUAAUAUACAUUGUUAGUCAACAAGGGAACAUGUAUUUCACAAACAGAUUACUUAGAAACUUGACUGACAAGUCCUUCCUGGGACAGCCACUCUAACUGCUGGAUUUAAUAACUGCUUUGUCAUCUUAGCAGUGAUGGAAAUGGGUUCCCUCCAUUGGCUCUGCAGCUACUGUAGAACAUCAUUUAAUCCACCCAUGCCAAUCUGAACCCUUGUUUCCCCAAACACGAAGGCAGAAACAUCUGGCUAGGUAUAAAGCAGGUUAACACGGAUAAAACUUGCAAGAAGCCAUGUUCACAGUCACUACUCUGCUAUGCAAAUAGCCAUCGAUAAUGAACUGUAUGGAAUUAGCUCCUAAGAUCUGGGUGAAGGUGUUUUGGAAACUCAUGCCCCAAGUGAGCCUCCUCCAUGUUUAAUCACCUACAUAAAUGACCCGUUUUCCAAAAGCAGCCACCCCUUAUGUUUGCUUCUGAGAGAACUGCCAACUGCCCAGGACUGAUUAAAUCAAAACACCUCUGCUGUGCCUGUGAAUUUUAAUUUGAAGACACAGCCUUGAACAUCACAGUUCUAGCAUAUUGGUAUAACCAUUGGUAUUGGCAGGACAGGCCACUGGAUUCUACUCUUCCUGCUGGCAUUACUCAGUUUGUGUCAUCAAAGAACUCACUGAGCUCAUGCUCUUUAAUGUAAGAAAAAGGAAAAUCCUUGUUUUAUAGUGAGCAAAACUAACGGUGGGGGCAGGAGUCACUUCAUUAACCACUGACCUGAUCUCCAAGCAAUUCACACCAGGCUUCCUUUAUAAUCCAGGACAGAAAUGCGCACUCUAAAGAUGGAAUUCAUCUAAUCAAGUACAUAGCACUGUAAGAGGAGAUAAACCAUGUUGCAGACUCCACUGACAAAGCUGAUUAGAUCUCUGCUGACUCUAAAGGGAGACUGGUGAUCACAAGAUGUUUGUGUAUCAGCUACCAAUUCCCAAACAUGAAUUCCUCCCUUAUAGUCCAGUUGAGGCUGUGGUUUCAUUACCAGCAUCAGUGGAUGCCAGUAUAUGGUCACACACUUUUCCUGCACCAAUCACAUGGUCCUGUGUGUCAGCUCUAGCAAUCCUGCUGCCCUAGGUAAAUAGGAUUAACUUGCUGAACUGGCUGAAAAGCAAUGAAGAUGAAAAAUAAUUUGGUUUUUGGUUGCGCUGGCAGGCAAAGCUGAUGCCCCUCAUGGCAUCACAUGCCCUAAUUGCUAGGUCUGAGGCCUGGUUGGGAGCAAGAAUAUAAUUUCUGAAAGGCACUUGCAGUGGCCCCUUUUGGCACCAGCUUUUAGUUGGACCAGCUUAACUUGAGAACAAAAUGGCCUCUGUAGAAGGCAGCUCAGAAAAUUAAUAGAUGCAGUCACAGAACAUAAACUUAACAUGUCUAUGUUUACUGCCUUGGGAUAUGAUUUGACAAACAUCAAAUAUAAUUGAUCCUUUAAAAGAGACCUUCAUGUCUCCAUCCUUAUGUGAAGGGCAUAUGUGGUGUCUGGGAAAAGCAGCAGUGUCCAGCAGGUCUCAGAUUGGAUCUGAGAUUGCGGAUUGCAAACUCUGGGAUUGCAGCACAUUCCAAGUCAAAGCAUCAGUAUUUAUUGUGUAAUAAAGGCAAAUUCAUCCACCUCAAGCUGACACAGUAAAUAUCCAACACAUAAAUGGUAAAAUGAUGAGUAU
RNAcentral lists this long non-coding RNA (2514 nucleotides) under Ficedula albicollis (Collared flycatcher). Its description in RNAcentral is "lncRNA (ENSFALG00000028988.1)". Lineage: Eukaryota; Metazoa; Chordata; Aves; Passeriformes; Muscicapidae. The record is from RNAcentral.